This 497-nucleotide ribosomal RNA is filed under the name uncultured bacterium. RNAcentral's name for it is "partial 16S ribosomal RNA". It matches the Rfam family "Bacterial small subunit ribosomal RNA", at positions 28 to 507 of the family's 1533-position model. The record is from RNAcentral.
GAUGAGCGCUGGCGGCGCGCCUAAUACAUGCAAGUCGAGCGAACGGACGAGAAGCUUGCUUCUCUGAUGUUAGCGGCGGACGGGUGAGUAACACGUGGAUAACCUACCUAUAAGACUGGGAUAACUUCGGGAAACCGGAGCUAAUACCGGAUAAUAUUUUGAACCGCAUGGUUCAAAAGUGAAAGACGGUCUUGCUGUCACUUAUAGAUGGAUCCGCGCUGCAUUAGCUAGUUGGUAAGGUAACGGCUUACCAAGGCAACGAUGCAUAGCCGACCUGAGAGGGUGAUCGGCCACACUGGAACUGAGACACGGUCCAGACUCCUACGGGAGGCAGCAGUAGGGAAUCUUCCGCAAUGGGCGAAAGCCUGACGGAGCAACGCCGCGUGAGUGAUGAAGGUCUUCGGAUCGUAAAACUCUGUUAUUAGGGAAGAACAUAUGUGUAAGUAACUGUGCACAUCUUGACGGUACCUAAUCAGAAAGCCACGGCUAACUACGUG